Molecule: ribosomal RNA, 253 nt
Filed under: uncultured bacterium
Lineage: Bacteria
Description: partial 16S ribosomal RNA
Rfam family: Bacterial small subunit ribosomal RNA
Source: RNAcentral
UACGUAGGGGGCAAGCGUUGUCCGGAUUUAUUGGGCGUAAAGAGCGUGUAGGCGGUUUGGUAGGUCCGCUGUGAAAACUCGAGGCUCAACCUCGAGACGCCGGUGGAAACCAUCAGGCUAGAGUCCGGAAGAGGAGAGUGGAAUUCCUGGUGUAGCGGUGAAAUGCGCAGAUAUCAGGAAGAACACCCGUGGCUAAGGCGGCUCUCUAGUACGGUACUGACGCUGAGACGCGAAAACGUGGGGAGCGAACAGG